CCUACGGGUGGCAGCAGUGAGGAAUAUUGGUCAAUGGGGGAAACCCUGAUGCAGCGACGCCGCGUGAGCGAUGAAGUAUUUCGGUAUGUAAAGCUCUAUCAGCAGGGAAGUAAAUGACGGUACCUGACUCACAUGCUCUGGCUAACUACGUGCCAGCAGCCGAGGUAAUACGUAGGGGGCAAGCGUUAUCCGGAUUUACUGGGUGGAAAGGGAGCGUAGACGGCGGUGCAAGUCAGCUGUGAAAGCCCGGGGCUAAACCCCGGGACUGCAGUUGGAACUGGGCUGCUAGAGUGUCGGAGAGGCAGGCGGAAUUCCUGGUGUAGCGGUGAAAUGCGUAGAUAUUAGGAGGAACGCC
Molecule: ribosomal RNA, 355 nt
Filed under: uncultured bacterium
Lineage: Bacteria
Description: partial 16S ribosomal RNA
Rfam family: Bacterial small subunit ribosomal RNA
Source: RNAcentral